CGUCCUCUGCCGUGAUCGACAGCGAACACAACAUUCGCCUUGUCCCUUAAUGACGACCACGGGGAUGUGCAGGCCGUCCGGCGUGCAUGACCGCCCCGCAGCGGUAAGCCCGACGACUGCCGAGCAUUCCCACUUGAACCCCGGGUUCAAGGUCGUUGGUUCGCAUCGUCAUGGCGGAGGAUGC
Molecule: non-coding RNA, 184 nt
Filed under: Pseudoxanthomonas suwonensis
Lineage: Bacteria; Pseudomonadati; Pseudomonadota; Gammaproteobacteria; Lysobacterales; Lysobacteraceae
Description: 6S RNA
Rfam family: 6S / SsrS RNA
About the family: E. coli 6S RNA was the first non coding RNA to be sequenced, but its function was unknown until recently. It consists of 184 nucleotides that fold into an extended hairpin structure with a large single-stranded internal bulge.
Source: RNAcentral